This is a long non-coding RNA of Lotus japonicus, 908 nucleotides long. RefSeq lists it as uncharacterized. NCBI's taxonomy places the organism in Eukaryota, Viridiplantae, Streptophyta, Magnoliopsida, Fabales, Fabaceae. The record is from RefSeq and is a predicted model, not a curated record. The transcript is spliced from 2 exons.
AAAAAAAAGCUAAAUAUUUGUCAAAUAUUUUUGUGUAAGAAUAAUUCAAAUAUUUAUGAUCAAUAAUAAAAGUAAAUAUUUUUAAAUUACGUUUUGGUUUUAUAAAUAGAAGAAAAAAAUUAAGAAUUUUAAAAUAUGAAUCCGUGAUAAAUUAAUAGUAUGGCUAAUUUUUUUUUUUAAAAGGGAAGCCACACAAAUAGGAGUAAAAAAUAAGCUUACAGGUCCACAUUGAAUUAAAAAAAAGGAGUAAAGGGAGAGUGAUCCCAUUUUUUGUCUCCUCAUCUUCUGCCCAAACAAAAACCCUAGCCACCACACCUAGCCUUUCCUCUUCUCCUCCUCCUCCUUCCCUUACGACCACGAAACCACCGACCAUGCCUCCGACAGCUUUUGUUGGACGUGCGACCCACACUACUGCCCCAGUCCCACCCAAUUUGGUUUUUUUGUCAAACUUGUGCACAGGACAAACAACCACCGCCGCGGGACUUCUGGCGAGGCUCGUGAAGUUGAUAAUUGUAUACUAAAGUAGUGGUGUUACCAUAUUCUCACCUCCAUGUCAUUGAUUUGUGGAGGGAAAAACUGCAAGGUGAAUAGGUCUUUCUUCAAGGUAAUGUGUAACUGAAAAAAUUUCAAUAUGAAUAGGUGGAAGGCAAGCUCGUGGAGUCUUCAAGGCAAUGUGUAACUGAAAAUGAAUUGGUGGAAAGCAAGCUCGUGGGGUUUUCAAGGAAAUGUGAAACUGAAAAUUUGAUAUUAAUUUUUCGUUUAACACAUUGUUCAUUUAUAGUUUAUCUCUCAGCUUCCUUUUUAGUCAGUAUCCAGUUUAUGCCUUCUAACACAUGUAGGCAAACACAUUUUGCCCAUCCAUAGAAACUGCCCGGUCAAUCAAUAAUUAUAUUAUUUAAUAUAUUUAA